RNAcentral lists this ribosomal RNA (253 nucleotides) under uncultured bacterium. Its description in RNAcentral is "partial 16S ribosomal RNA". It matches the Rfam family "Bacterial small subunit ribosomal RNA", at positions 524 to 776 of the family's 1533-position model. The record is from RNAcentral.
GACGUAGGGCGCGAGCGUUGUCCGGAUUUAUUGGGCGUAAAGAGCUCGUAGGCGGCUUGUCGCGUCGGAUGUGAAAGCCCGGGGCUUAACUCCGGGUCUGCAUUCGAUACGGGCAGGCUAGAGUGUGGUAGGGGAGAUCGGAAUUCCUGGUGUAGCGGUGAAAUGCGCAGAUAUCAGGAGGAACACCGAUGGCGAAGGCAGCUCGCUGGGACGGUACUGACGCUGAGGCGCGAAAGCGUGGGGAGCAAACAGG